ACGGGGUGCAGCAGGCGCGAAAACUCCACAAUGUACGCCAGUACGAUGGGGUUAUCUCGAGUGCCGACUGAAAAAGCCGGCUUUUCCACAGAGUAAUAUCCUGUGGGAAUAAGAGGGGGGCAAGACUGGUGUCAGCCGCCGCGGUAACACCAGCCCCUCGAGUGGUGGGGACUAUUAUUUGGCCUAAAGCGUCCGUAGCCGGCUGCAGCCGUCACCCGUUAAAUCCAGCGUCUCAAGCGUUGGACUGCGGGUGAUACCCUGCAGCUUGAGGGUGGGACAGGUUAGCGGUAUUCCCGGGGUAGGGGCGAAAUCCUUUGAUCCCGGGAGGACCACCAGUGGCGAAGGCUGCUGACUAGAACACGCCUGACGGUCAGGGACGAAAGCUGGGGUAGCGAACCGGAUUAGAUACCCGGGUAGUCCCAGCUGUAAACGAUGCACGCUAGGUGUUGGGUCGGCCACGCGCCGCCCCAGUGCCGCAGGGAAGCCGUUAAGCGUGCCGCCUGGGGAGUACGGCCGCAAGGCUGAAACUUAAAGGAAUUGGCGGGGGAGCAC
This 552-nucleotide ribosomal RNA is filed under the name uncultured crenarchaeote. RNAcentral's name for it is "bacterial SSU rRNA". It matches the Rfam family "Archaeal small subunit ribosomal RNA", at positions 325 to 879 of the family's 1478-position model. The record is from RNAcentral. Lineage: Archaea; Thermoproteati; Thermoproteota.